AGUGAACGCUGGCGGCAGGCCUAACACAUGCAAGUCGAGCGGCAGCGGGUCCUUCGGGAUGCCGGCGAGCGGCGGACGGGUGAGGAAUACAUCGGAAUCUGCCCUGUCGUGGGGGAUAACCUAGGGAAACUUAGGCUAAUACCGCAUACGACCUGCGGGUGAAAGCGGGGGUUCGCAAGACCUCGCGCGACAGGAUGAGCCGAUGUCCGAUUAGCUAGUUGGCGGGGUAAAGGCCCACCAAGGCGACGAUCGGUAGCUGGUCUGAGAGGAUGAUCAGCCACACUGGGACUGAGACACGGCCCAGACUCCUACGGGAGGCAGCAGUGGGGAAUAUUGGACAAUGGGCGCAAGCCUGAUCCAGCCAUGCCGCGUGGGUGAAGAAGGCCUUCGGGUUGUAAAGCCCUUUUGUCCGGGAAGAAAUCGUCUGGGCUAAUACCCCGGGCGGAUGACGGUACCGGAAGAAUAAGCACCGGCUAACUUCGUG
RNAcentral lists this ribosomal RNA (484 nucleotides) under uncultured bacterium. RNAcentral describes it as "partial 16S ribosomal RNA". It matches the Rfam family "Bacterial small subunit ribosomal RNA", at positions 30 to 507 of the family's 1533-position model. The record is from RNAcentral.